This 498-nucleotide ribosomal RNA is filed under the name uncultured bacterium. Its description in RNAcentral is "partial 16S ribosomal RNA". It matches the Rfam family "Bacterial small subunit ribosomal RNA", at positions 29 to 507 of the family's 1533-position model. The record is from RNAcentral.
AGCGAACGCUGGCGGCGUGCCUAACACAUGCAAGUCGAACGUGAAAAGGGAAACCUGCGUACAGUGGCGUACGGGUGAGUAACGCGUAGGUAAUCUACCCCAGAAUCUGGAAUAACCUGCCGAAAGGCGGGCUAAUACUGGAUAGAGCGAGGGAACUCGUAAGAGAGUUUUUCGGGAAAGGGAGCCCGCAAGGGCCUUCGUUCUGGGAUGAGCCUGCGUCUCAUUAGCUAGUUGGUAAGGUAACGGCUUACCAAGGCGAUGAUGAGUAGCUGGUCUGGGAGGAUGGUCAGCCAAACUGGAACUGAAACACGGUCCAGAAUCCUACGGGAGGCAGCAGUGGGGAAGCUUGCGCAAUGGACGAAAGUCUGACGCAGCCACGCCGCGUGAGUGAAGAAGGCCUUCGGGUUGUAAAGCUCUGUCGGAUGGGACGAACAUCUUCAUAGUGAAUAGCUAUGAGGACUGACGGUACCAUCAAAGGAAGCACCGGCUAACUCCGUG